This 808-nucleotide long non-coding RNA is filed under the name Mustela putorius furo (domestic ferret). RNAcentral describes it as "lncRNA (ENSMPUG00000030468.1)". The record is from RNAcentral. Lineage: Eukaryota; Metazoa; Chordata; Mammalia; Carnivora; Mustelidae.
GUAGCACGGUAGUGGUGAAACAUACAGCUGGGAGGGAUUUAGAAAGGUGAGGUUCAGCUGAUUGAGAAGUUCCUGUAGAGCCAGGAAAAAAUUUGUAGCCCCAGCAUCAGGGAGUGAAUCCCCAGUAGAAAGAAAGAGCUGGGAAGGACUUCCAGCCCAGCAGUGAAGGCAGAGCACCUGUGCUGGAAACAAGGACCCGGGGAAGAAAGCCUAGUCAGAAGGGACCUUUCAAACAAGGAAGCCUGCGACUAGCCCGGCCUCAGACAGUCCAUUCAGAAUCCUAAGAAUCUAAAUCUGUCUCUUACCAUGAUUCAGCAGACUGUCGUCAGGGGUCCUGGCUGAGGAGCUGUACUCACUGAUGGGUCCUCAAUCAGUGAGUCAUGAGUGAAGACAAAGGCUUCAAAAAUGUGCACGUAGGGUCCUGGGAGAGAGGCUCAGUGGUCCAAUGGGGAAUCUGAUCCCGAGUCAUGGUACCAUCACUGUUAAAGAAGAAAUUAUUCCGCCGUUGUUGUUAAUGGCCUCUCACCAGAUAUUACUGAUUUGCCAGCUGAUCUCAUUCUCUCAGCAUCCCAAGAAAUUCGCCUUUUAACCCUGGAAACAUUGAUCUUGAGACUUGAGAGCCAUGCGGCAGACACACAGAAUGAAUGUCUCACUAGGAUGCGUAUGCAAGUCCUCUCACAAGACUUCCGUGCAUUCUCAGUGCUAGUUACUAACUUCAUAUGAGAAUUUCCAAGGGAGUUGUUUACCAGUGUUCAGUCAUUGGAACCUCACACUGGGCUAGGAGAGCAGAUAGGUGAGGAAAGUGAGC